AUGUUCAUCUUAGCAAAUAAACCAGAACUAGUGAAAGGCAUCUACCACUCUACCUCCAAUCUUGAGGAUGAAAUAGUAGGAGGUAAUAGAGCAGGAAGGUAUUAGAUUAGAAGUGGCAUCAGCCAAUCCAAGGCAAAGUUGUCAACUAAACCAGUUUCUCAUGCAGGCAAAGAAAGCUGUGACAAUAUGGAACCUAGUAGUUACUUUAAAUAAUGUAAUACCAUUACUUUCCUAAAAUGAAUUCCUUCAGGCAUCACAGAGAGAAAACUUCAUAAGUGAUCCUGAAGAAUCUAUGCCCCCAGGUUUAAGAUGGUACGACAAAUGGUAAACUUGAAUUCAAAAUGAUCGUUCCUUUAAAUGUAGUGAUAUUGCUAAAUGCCCAGAACUAUUACUAUCUUACCAUGUUAUGUACAUUGCUGUCAUGAAGUACACUGGGAACAACUCUGGGGGGUAUAAUUAAUAAUGUAAUCAAAUGAAUUAGUACUACAAUUCAGUAUGAGAACAUUGUCAAAGAGAUGAAGGAAAUGUAAACGGUCAUUUUGUCAAAUGUCUUCUGUGAAACUGACUUGUGUGCUAACCAAUGGUUUCAUACAUAAACAUAUUCUCUGUCUUGGUUGCUUCUGUAAUUUCUGAUAUCUCAAUAGAUUUGCGUGGUUAGAGCCAGAUUAAGCCAAUUCCACAUAGUAACUGUUGAAAUUGAAAUCAGUAGGACUAGGAUUGAAAUUAUAACAAAUUCAGCCAAAAUGUUUCAACAGGACUUAAGUGAAAUAGAUUUAGUCUGGAUCCAACCCUACAUAAAAUGUAACUACAGUAGAGUCUCACUUAUCCAAGCCUCGCUUAUCCAUGCUUCUGGAUUAUCCAAGCCAUUUUUGUAGUCAAUGUUUUCAAUAUAUCAUGAUAUUUUGGUGCUAAAUUCGUAAAUACAGUAAUUACAAUAUAACAUUACUGUGUAUUGAACUACUUUUUCUGUCAAAUUUGUUGUCUAACAUGAUGUUUUGGUGCUUAAUUUGUAAAAUCAUAACCUAAUUUGAUGUUUAAUAGGCUUUUCCUUAAUCCCUCCUCAUUAUCCAAGAUAUUCGCUUAUCCAAGCUUCUGCCGGCCUGUUUAGCUUGGAUAAGUGAGACUCUACUGUAAUAAGAAAUUCUUGAUAGGAUUCAGUUUGUCUGGUUAUGCUGGUUUAUGAUGACAACUACUGUACAGUAUAUAAUAAAUGUUCAUUUUUUUGUUCAACAAUAAAUGCGAAUUCUUCUUCAUGGAAAAAUAAGACAUCCCCUGAAAAUAAGACCUAGAGCAUCUUUGGGAGCAAAAAUUAAUAUAAGACACUGUCUAAUUUUUGGGGAAACACGGUAUGUGCCUUCAAAUUGACUCGGACAUAUAAAGACUCUAACAUAGAAUUUUCUUGGCAAAGUCAA
Molecule: long non-coding RNA, 1412 nt
Filed under: Anolis carolinensis (green anole)
Lineage: Eukaryota; Metazoa; Chordata; Lepidosauria; Squamata; Anolidae
Description: lncRNA (ENSACAG00000035351.1)
Source: RNAcentral